Molecule: ribosomal RNA, 460 nt
Filed under: uncultured bacterium
Lineage: Bacteria
Description: partial 16S ribosomal RNA
Rfam family: Bacterial small subunit ribosomal RNA
Source: RNAcentral
CCUACGGGAGGCAGCAGUGAGGAAUAUUGGUCAAUGGACGCAAGUCUGAACCAGCCAUGCCGCGUGCAGGAAGACGGCCCUAUGAGUUGUAAACUGCUUUUGUACGAGGGUAAACGCAGAUACGCGUAUCUGCCUGAAAGUAUCGUACGAAUAAGGAUCGGCCAACUCCGGGCCAGCAGCCGCGGUAAUACGGAGGAUUCAAGCUUUAUUCGGAUUUAUUGGGUUUAAAGGGUGCGUAGGCGGUCGGAUAAGUUAGAGGUGAAAUCCCGAGGCUCAAAUUCGGAAUUGCCUCUGAUACUGUUCGGCUAGAGAGUAGGUGCGGUAGGCGGAAUGUAUGGUGUAGCGGUGAAAUGCUUAGAGAUCAUACAGAACACCGAUUGCGAAGGCAGCUUACCAAGCUACUUCUGACGUUGAGGCACGAAAGCGUGGGGAGCGAACAGGAUUAGAUACCCCAGUAGUC